This 468-nucleotide ribosomal RNA is filed under the name uncultured bacterium. RNAcentral describes it as "partial 16S ribosomal RNA". It matches the Rfam family "Bacterial small subunit ribosomal RNA", at positions 28 to 507 of the family's 1533-position model. The record is from RNAcentral.
GACGAACGCUGGCGGCGUGCUUAACACAUGCAAGUCGAACGGAAAGGCCCUGCUUUUGUGGGGUGCUCGAGUGGCGAACGGGUGAGUAACACGUGAGUAACCUGCCCUUGACUUUGGGAUAACUUCAGGAAACUGGGGCUAAUACCGGAUAGGAGCUCCUGCUGCAUGGUGGGGGUUGGAAAGUUUCGGCGGUUGGGGAUGGACUCGCGGCUUAUCAGCUUGUUGGUGGGGUAGUGGCUUACCAAGGCUUUGAAGGGUAGGCCGCCUGAGAGGGUGACCGGCCACAAUGGGACUGAGAUACGGCCCAGACUCCUACGGGAGGCAGCAGUGGGGAAUAUUGCACAAUGGGCGGAAGCCUGAUGCAGCAGCGCCGCGUGCGGGAUGACGGCCUUCGGGUUGUAAACCGCUUUCGCCUGUGACGAAGCGUGAGUGACGGUAAUGGGUAAAGAAGCACCGGCUAACUACGUG